CUGUGCUAGGCGGGGAGCUAGCGGUGCCCUGUACCUGCAAUCCGCUAUAGCAGGGCCGAAUUCCCGCCCGAGGUUUCACCGCCGGAGUGCGAAAGACCCGAGCCGGCGUUGACAGCCCAAGUCCCUCGCAAUGGGGAGGUGCUGAACCCCGUCAGGACCGGGAGGUAGCAGCGGUAGGCACUGCAACCAUGUGCCGAGGGGGCGCUUGGCUGGAGCCGGUGCCGGGCCCUUCCGCUCCGAUACGGGAAAUCGACGGCGGGUGCACAG
This 267-nucleotide signal recognition particle RNA is filed under the name Bacteroidota bacterium. RNAcentral's name for it is "Bacteroidetes bacterium (hydrothermal vent metagenome) signal recognition particle sRNA large type". It matches the Rfam family "Bacterial large signal recognition particle RNA". Rfam says of the family: The signal recognition particle (SRP) is a universally conserved ribonucleoprotein involved in the co-translational targeting of proteins to membranes. Archaeal SRP consists of a 7S RNA and homologues of the eukaryotic SRP19 and SRP54 proteins. Lineage: Bacteria; Pseudomonadati; Bacteroidota. The record is from RNAcentral.